UACAGAGGGUGCAAGCGUUAAUCGGAUUUACUGGGCGUAAAGCGUGCGUAGGCGGCUAAUUAAGUCAAAUGUGAAAUCCCCGAGCUUAACUUGGGAAUUGCAUUCGAUACUGGUUAGCUAGAGUAUGGGAGAGGAUGGUAGAAUUCCAGGUGUAGCGGUGAAAUGCGUAGAGAUCUGGAGGAAUACCGAUGGCGAAGGCAGCCAUCUGGCCUAAUACUGACGCUGAGGUACGAAAGCAUGGGGAGCAAACAGGAUUAGAUACCCUGGUAGUCCAUGCCGUAAACGAUGUCUACUAGCCGUUGGGGUCUUUGAGACCUUAGUGGCGCAGCUAACGCGAUAAGUAGACCGCCUGGGGAGUACGGUCGCAAGACUAAA
RNAcentral lists this ribosomal RNA (375 nucleotides) under uncultured bacterium. RNAcentral's name for it is "bacterial SSU rRNA". It matches the Rfam family "Bacterial small subunit ribosomal RNA", at positions 524 to 898 of the family's 1533-position model. The record is from RNAcentral.